UCAGAGUAUAGCUAAGACAGCAAAGCAUCUCCCUUACACUGAGAAGUCAUCCGUGCAAAUCGGAUUACCCUGAA
This 74-nucleotide transfer RNA is filed under the name Paracanthurus hepatus (palette surgeonfish). RNAcentral describes it as "tRNA-Val". It matches the Rfam family "tRNA". Rfam says of the family: Transfer RNA (tRNA) molecules are approximately 80 nucleotides in length. Their secondary structure includes four short double-helical elements and three loops (D, anti-codon, and T loops). Further hydrogen bonds mediate the characteristic L-shaped molecular structure. tRNAs have two regions of fundamental functional importance: the anti-codon, which is responsible for specific mRNA codon recognition, and the 3' end, to which the tRNAs corresponding amino acid is attached (by aminoacyl-tRNA synthetases). tRNAs cope with the degeneracy of the genetic code in two manners: having more than one tRNA (with a specific anti-codon) for a particular amino acid; and 'wobble' base-pairing, i.e. permitting non-standard base-pairing at the 3rd anti-codon position. The record is from RNAcentral. Lineage: Eukaryota; Metazoa; Chordata; Actinopteri; Acanthuriformes; Acanthuridae.